ACCGACGAGAUCGCGCGGCUGCGCGUUGA
This 29-nucleotide small RNA is filed under the name Bombyx mori (domestic silkworm). RNAcentral describes it as "ovarian small RNA-11297". Lineage: Eukaryota; Metazoa; Arthropoda; Insecta; Lepidoptera; Bombycidae. The record is from RNAcentral.